Molecule: long non-coding RNA, 994 nt
Filed under: Heterocephalus glaber (naked mole-rat)
Lineage: Eukaryota; Metazoa; Chordata; Mammalia; Rodentia; Bathyergidae
Description: lncRNA (ENSHGLG00100049766.1)
Source: RNAcentral
UGCGCCUUCUGCCAAUCCGGAUGCCGCUUGGCAGUGAUAGGCGCCAGCGAGUGGCCAAUGAGAAGAAGGCCACUGCCGCGAGUGGGCGUGUCCACACCCCCUCUCCCUCCUCUGCGCGGUCCUCCAGCCCGCCCGACUCAGGGCUGUUUUGAGGGUUAAAUGAGUGAACGCACAGAAAGCACUUGAAACAGUAAGCCCUCUUUCAGUAAAAGAUGUUACUAUGACAAUCAUCUUUACACAGGCUCUCAGUAGCCAAAGAAGUAGCCUCUGGAGUGACCUGUGGACUUCAGCAAGAGAAGGCCUGCAUCAGGCCUUACAGCAUGGCACACGGCUCUGGGUGCUUCAGGUCAUUGCUCUGUCUCUCCUACUGGACAAGGCAUUGCCUCAAGGGCAGCGAUCAUCUCAUUACCAUAUUUUGAUCUCCUCGGCAUCUGCCAUAGCAAAGCUGUCUAGAGAAGUGAUGAUAUCCAACCUGUGUGUGUGUGUAUGUGUGGUGUAUGCCUUUAACAUCGCUGGAGAUUGAACCCAGAGCCUCAUACAAGCAUUCUACCACUGAGAAUGCUGUGAACAGAAGUCUGACUUCAGCAUGAGUGGAUCAAAAUUGCACACAUGAAGCACCAGGCAGCCUAGUCCUCUUUUUCCAGCAACAAGGGGACCUUCUCAACAUGGUGGUUUCAAGACAGCCAGGAGAACCAUGCUGCCUCCAGAAAUCGCUGCUCUACCCAAAGCCUGAGAUUCCCAGCUAGAUACAUAAUUACAUCGGUAGAGACCACAUUUUCCAGCUUCCCUUACAACUACAAGUGGUUAAAUGGCAGAAGCGAUGUGUCUGGAACUCCAAUGUGGUACUGAUAAGCUAGUUGUGACCAAGAGCAGGAGACGGAGCAAUAAUUUUGGACACAAAGGUGAAAGCUCUAUGCAGAAGAUGGGUUCUGGGCCCUUGAAGACCGUCACAGAGCCAAGAGUGUCCUUCCUCUUUUGCAGAGUUGUAUGCGAG